This 254-nucleotide ribosomal RNA is filed under the name uncultured bacterium. RNAcentral describes it as "partial 16S ribosomal RNA". It matches the Rfam family "Bacterial small subunit ribosomal RNA", at positions 524 to 776 of the family's 1533-position model. The record is from RNAcentral.
GACGUAGGGUCCAAGCGUUGUCCGGAUUUACUGGGCGUAAAGAGCGCGUAGGCGGUCUGGUUAGUGUGAAGUGAAAUCUCCAGGGCUCAACCCGGAAACUGCUUUGCAUACCGCCAGACUAGAGGAAUGCAGAGGUAUGUGGAAUUCCUGGUGUAGCGGUGAAAUGCGUUGAUAUCAGGAGGAACACCCAUGGCGAAGGCAGCAUACUGGGCAUUAUCUGGCGCUGAGGCGCGAAAGCGUGGGUAGCAAACAGG